UACGUAGGGACCGAGCGUUGUCCGGAAUCAUUGGGCGUAAAGAGCGUGUAGGCGGCUCGCUAAGUCUUGCGUGAAAUCUCGGGGCUCAACCCCGAGCGGUCGUGAGAAACUGGCGGGCUAGAGUGCGGGAGAGGAGAGUGGAAUUCCUGGUGUAGCGGUGAAAUGCGUAGAUAUCGUAAGGAAGACCAGUGGCGAAGGCGAGUUUCUGGACAGUUACUGACGCUGAGGCACGAAGGCCAGGGGAGCAAACGGG
Molecule: ribosomal RNA, 253 nt
Filed under: uncultured bacterium
Lineage: Bacteria
Description: partial 16S ribosomal RNA
Rfam family: Bacterial small subunit ribosomal RNA
Source: RNAcentral